RNAcentral lists this non-coding RNA (30 nucleotides) under Mus musculus (house mouse). Lineage: Eukaryota; Metazoa; Chordata; Mammalia; Rodentia; Muridae. The record is from RNAcentral.
UCAAACUUUAAACUUUGUAUGCCUCUGGAC